CCUCCUCUUAGUUCUGAGAGAUAAAGAUGCUGUAUUUUACCAUGAUACGAUUUAAUUUGAUUUGGAACCUGCUUGCAACAUGGUUGCACUUUAUAUGGUUCAGUUCAGUGGAGAAGAAGAGCCUUGUUCCAAAUAUGCUAAGGACUGGCUAAAGCUCAGUGCCAUAAAACUUAUUAAGAACAUGCUUUAGUGUUCUGUGUUGGGAAAAACUACUGUAUUAUAUCAUUCUGAACAUAGUUAAAAUUUAAAAUGGAUCCGGGCACAUCUUAUAAUCUAUUUUAAUAAUAUCCAUAGUAAACAUAACUGUAACAACUGCCAGAAAAUGUCAAC
Long non-coding RNA from Strigops habroptila (Kakapo), 330 nucleotides. RefSeq lists it as uncharacterized. Lineage: Eukaryota; Metazoa; Chordata; Aves; Psittaciformes; Psittacidae. The record is from RefSeq and is a predicted model, not a curated record. The transcript has 3 exons.